This is a long non-coding RNA of Fukomys damarensis (Damara mole-rat), 757 nucleotides long. RefSeq lists it as uncharacterized. The record is from RefSeq and is a predicted model, not a curated record. Lineage: Eukaryota; Metazoa; Chordata; Mammalia; Rodentia; Bathyergidae. The transcript has 3 exons.
CCUUACUCACCAGAUCUAGCACCCCACAACUUCUGGCUCUCCCCAGAGUCAAAAUGACCAUGGAAGGUAAGCGUUUGCAAUUGAUUCAGGACAUUGAGGCAGCCAGGGGACUAAACAAAAGGCACAAAAGAGCACUCCACAGCUGCUUCUGCAAGAGGUUAGAAUAAUGGAGCAAGGAUGUUCAAAGUGCGGGGGGAGUGUCUGGAGGGGAAUAAACAGCAAUAUGCCUUUCAGUGUAGUCAUAUUUUUAAUUUUAAGCAUUCUUUAUAUUUUUCGAUUACAUAUCCCAGUUCCACAAAAUCUCAGGAGGAGUCUGAGAAGCAGAACAGACCCCAGGCAUCAGCUAUUAUGUUUGCAGCUUUUACGUUGCUGGCUCCGCAUAAUGCAUUCUGAGAGGUUCAACGGUGCCUACUGAGCACAAGCCCCUCUGUGGUUCAGCCUUCUUCAUGUCUCUUGAUGAAUCCUGGCCAGGACUCACUUGGGCUUGCAGAAAGAGUCACCCAGGAAGGAACAAAACUGGCCCCCUGGGGCCUCAGGAGGUGCGCUGUGGGGAACUGCGAUGCAGGCCCUCCGGAGAGGAGACCGAUCCUGAUGAGAUGAAACACAAUACCGGGGAAAUGCUGAAGGUGGCUCCCCUCAGCAUUUUAAAAAUCUCAUCUGGCAAAGACACUGUGUCGGUUUCCAGAGACCAAUGGGAUAAUGAUCAUGCAGCAAGCGUUCCAUAUAUCUGCCUGGCAGUUGUAGUCGAGGUCAAAAA